Motacilla alba alba is the source of this 2281-nucleotide long non-coding RNA. RefSeq lists it as uncharacterized. Lineage: Eukaryota; Metazoa; Chordata; Aves; Passeriformes; Motacillidae. The transcript has 6 exons. The record is from RefSeq and is a predicted model, not a curated record.
UAUAACUUACAAAAGAAAAUGAAAAAGGGUCAGGGAAAACGCCCCCAUUAAUCUCUGCUCUUGCAUUUUAUACAGCUGUUUCUUCCCCUGUAGGACAGAUAGCAAAAGAUAUCAGCUUUCAACUCCAUCCCAACCUGCCUAUGGGCAGAGACCAUAUGAAGUGGAAGAUGAAAUGACCCUACCCUAUACACAUCUUUUAGAAAUGACAUAUACAUGUUUUUGGGUUUUAUUUUCCUAUUUCCUCCCCACAAGCUGUAUAUUUUAAAAUUUUCUCCUCCUGUGUUACCCCCAAUGUUUUUUGUAUCUAAACACAGCACAGGGUAAACCAGGGAAAACUGCAGUCCUCAUUCUCAGGUCUGCUUAGUAAUGGCAGGCGAAGGCAAAAGCUCUCUUCUCUUGAAUAUCUGACAGCAUCGUCUCGAGCUACUGUCUGCUCAACUGGUUAUUGCCCAGCCUCUUCAUCUCACAGUAACUGCUUAAAUUCAGUGGUUUCUGGCUUUCCUACUCAUGCCACACAACUGCCAGGGAAGUACAUGAGAGCAACAGGCCUGAGAGAGCUGUAAAUUAAAGAGGUAUGGAGCCAGAGGGUGACUGGCUAUAUUUGGGACCUUGUGGCACAAUUCCUGAUCAAGAAGAGGGUCUACUGCUCUACAUAGUUGCCACUGAAAGUUUUCUUCAUCAGAAAAAUUGAGCUGAAAGAAUUUUUAACUGGGUCCAGCAGUGUUUCAGGCCACAUGUCCAAAGUCCUUCCCUAUCUUUUGGUAAACAAUAAGUUUCUGCUGUCUCUGACACUCAGCAGAUACCUUCUGGUCAUUGCCAGAACACAAAAGCAUUUUGAAAACAAAGAAGGUUGUGACUUGUUUAACAUUUUGGGAAGGCAGUGGCAGAAUUUUGGUCAUGUUUUGAGGAAGGAUUAUGAUGGCUCUCUAAAAUUAAUCACCUCCCAUUUCUUUCAUCCAAAUAAUUCAUCUACCUUAUGUUGUAUUUUCUAUAUCUCUGUGACCUCUCACUUCUCAUCAGCUCCUCUAUCCAGUGUAAAGUGUGACAAGAUGGCUCAUAGCACCACACAUGAUUUGAAAGAUAUUUACAAAAAGACCUCCCUAAAGAAAAAGAUGCAGGGAAUAGUAUAAUUUACAUCCUUUGUGCAGCCUUCAAUGGAAGUGUGAGAAAAAUUCUGAAAGGAAAAUAAAAGUUAUGAAAACUGAAAAUGUGAGGUAGGAAUGGAGGCAAGUUUGGGAGCAAGUGGGUAUCUAAAUGGGUAUCUAAGUGGGUAUCCUAUUAAUUUAUAUUCAAUAUGUUGUUAACCAGCAGCCUGCCACUUUUUUUUUCACUUGGAUGUGUUUCUCAAACCAUGAAAAUCCAUGGCAAACAAAUAACUUUUCAAUGUUAAAUGCAAAUUAAGGUUUUAUGUUUUAUUACCUUUUCCAACACAGUAUUUUGUGAAAAUAAUUUUUCCUUAGUUCUUUUUAUAACACAGGCAGAGAUUUUCAUAUAUACAAUGUAUAGUGUACAAGUGCAAUGUAUACACAAAUAAAUAUAUUUACAUAGCCAGGGAUCUGUCUGUACUGAUACAAUCUUUAAGCCAAAUUCAACAUUUAUACAACCUGUCUCUCCGUAUAAUUCUAGUAUGUUUGGAUUAAAAAAGUCUGCAGCUUUCUAAUUGUCAUGGUUUAACCCCAGCUGCCAACUAAGCAAAACUGGCAUGCUAAUAAAAGAUCUGACUCUUCCUUUCAGCCCUGCACAGACCAUAAAUCUGGGAGACGAUUUUGGAAGUGUGAAGAAGACAAAACAUCACUUCCUGGCGUGUGUUCUACUCCAGAUGAGCAUGUCAGCAUGCUCUUUUUGAUUGCUUACCUGGUGUUAGCGCUCUGUGAAGGGAUCCUGUCACCACAGGAUUGUUUCCCACUCAGCUUCCCACAUACACAACCCCCAUUCUGGAACUGCUACACUCCAAAACAUGUGAGUGACAACAGGCUUGACAGCCCUUGGGGUAGUGAAAGAUCUGGCGAGAGCAAGCCUCCCCAGCAUGCUCAUCAGCCUUAAGCAAUCAUGACUGUGAUCAUGCUGCUGAAAUACGGAGGUCCUGAAAGACCAGCAGACUGAGAGACGACUGAGAAGUUAGAACCAUGGCUAUUUGUCUAGGACUUUGUGUCAGAAAUUUCCUUUGUUUCAUGGACUCUCCGUGGACUCCAAGGAAAGGAAGAAUGAUUUUUCUUAAAUAAUCAAGGAUUACACGAAACCUCUUCUGACUUCCUGGGAUUUCCUCAAAGUCAACAGAAAG